Molecule: unclassified non-coding RNA, 176 nt
Filed under: uncultured fungus
Lineage: Eukaryota; Fungi
Description: sequence contains ITS1, 5.8S rRNA gene
Source: RNAcentral
UAUUUUGAAUUAUUUUAUUCAUAAUAUUUUUCAGACAAAGAGUUAAAGAAUAAGUUGAUGUUUGGUCGCUCUCAAAAAAGAGAACGACUGACAUUGCACACAAGGUGGAUAUGGAUUUAAAAAGUGCCAUAAAACACUUAUUAUGAAUGAUCCUUCCGCAGGUUCACCUACGGAAA